Molecule: ribosomal RNA, 1467 nt
Filed under: Triticum aestivum (bread wheat)
Lineage: Eukaryota; Viridiplantae; Streptophyta; Magnoliopsida; Poales; Poaceae
Description: partial small subunit ribosomal RNA
Source: RNAcentral
AUGUCCAUCGUCAAGCGUGCUUUGGGCUUCGGCGGCGGCUACGGCCAGAGCAAGCCCGUGAUAAGCUACCACACCCAGAACUCCGACUCGGUGACCACCGUCGUGACCGAGAUCAGCCACAUGAGCCUCAACGGGAAGCAGGCGGCGUACAACGACGCCGGCGCCGUGCAGAAGACGGCCUCCCUGACGGAGCUGUGCAGCGAGGAUGCCGAAGUGCAGAAGCACUGCUACGGGCAGCAGGCGUACGGGAGCGACGUCGGAGGGUUCGACGCUCUCGUCUGCGACAGCGCCGCGCAGAAGCACGGCUACGGCGGCGAACAGAAGGCGUCGUCGUACCAGCAUGAAAGCGGCGCCGGAGGCUACAGCGCCCUUCACCACGAAAGCUCCGUGCAGAAGCACGGUGGCUACGGCGGGCAGAAGGCGUCGUCGUACCAGCAUGGAGGCUACGACGCUGCCAGCCACGACAGCACCGGCGCCACGCAGAAGUAUGGCUACGGUGAGCAGAAGGCUUACCAGCAUUAUGGGGCCGAGGCCCACCAUGACAGCUCGGCGCAGAAGCAUGGCUAUGGCGAGCAGAAGGCGUACGGUGGUCACCACCAGGACAGCAAGGUCCAGAAGAGCGGCUACGGCGGCGAGCAUACGGCGUACCAGCAUGAAGGCAAUCUCAAGGGGUACACCGCUCUCCACCAGGACAGCAAGAUCCAGAAGCAUGGCUACGGCAAGAAGGCGCACGGCUAUGGCGAGCAGAAGGCGUACGACUGCACGGUCCAGAAGCCCGGCUACGGCGAGCACAAGGCGUACGAGCAUGGGAGCGCCGCCGCCGCCCUCCACCACGACAGCUACGGCGUCGUGAAGAAGCACGGCUACGGCGGCGAGCAGUACCAGCAUGGCGCUGCAGCGGGAGAGUACGACGCCGUCCACCACUACAACAGCUCGGUGCAGAAGCAAGGCUACGGGGAGAAGGCGUACCAGCACGGGAGCGACGCCGGAGGGUACGGCGGUGUCCACCACGGCAGCGCGACGCAGAAGCACGGCUACGGCGCUGGGCAGAAGGCUUACGCACACGAUGCUGAUGGCGGAGGGUACACCAUUUUCUACCACGGCGGCGUGGCGCAGAACGCGUCGUACAAAGGGUGCGCCGCCGGCGUCGCCGGGUACGACACGCUCGUCCAGAAGCAGCACGGGGACGGGGGCUACGGCGGCCUGCAAAAUGCGUACCCGCGGCAAGGGUGCGGCGUCGGCGGCGUCGCAGGGUAUGAUGCUCUUGCCCGCCGUGAGAGAGAGAAGCAGCGGUGUGAGAGCGACGAAGAGAGCGAGGAGGAGAGCGACUGCGAAGAGGAGGAGGUGGUGGGCCUUGCGGCGCCCGGCGGCACGCAGUACUACGCGGCGUACGAGCGCCACCAGCAGCUCGGCGGCGGCGGCUAUGGCGGCGGGUGCGCACAGCCCAAGAAUCACAGCUACUACUGA